CUCGAGUGCAGGUACAAAUCUGGCUGUCGUGAUGCCUAAAAGCAUUGCAUAGCAAGGGCCGGGCAAGACCGGUGCCAGCCGCCGCGGAACACCGGCGCUCGAGUGGUAACCGUUAUUAUUGGGUCUAAAGGGUCUGUAGCCGGCCUGAUAAGUCUCUUGAGAAAUCCGGCAGCUCAACUGUGGGCCUUUCAGGAGAUACUGUCUGGCUCGAGGCCGGGAGAGGUGAGAGGUACUUCAGGGGUAGGGGUGAAAUCUUGUAAUCCUUGAAGGACCACCAGUGGCGAAGGCGUCUCACCAGAACGGACCUGACGGCAAGUGACGAAAGCUAGGGGCACGAACCGGAUUAGAUACCCGGGUAGUCCUAGCCGUAAACGAUACUCGCUAGGUGUUGGCCACGGUGCGACCGUGGUCGGUGCCGUAGGGAAGCUGUGAAGCGAGCCACCUGGGAAGUACGGCCGCAAGGCUGAAACUUAA
Molecule: ribosomal RNA, 474 nt
Filed under: uncultured euryarchaeote
Lineage: Archaea; Methanobacteriati; Methanobacteriota
Description: bacterial SSU rRNA
Rfam family: Archaeal small subunit ribosomal RNA
Source: RNAcentral